UACAGAGGUCCCAAGCGUUGUUCGGAUUCAUUGGGCGUAAAGGGUGUGUAGGUGGCGCCGUAAGUCGGGUGUGAAAUCUCGGAGCUUAACUCCGAAACUGCAUUCGAUACUGCCGUGCUUGAGGACUGGAGAGGAGACUGGAAUUUACGGUGUAGCGGUGAAAUGCGUAGAUAUCGUAAGGAAGACCGGUGGCGAAGGCGGGUCUCUGGACAGUUCCUGACGCUGAGGCACGAAGGUCAGGGGAGCAAACGGG
RNAcentral lists this ribosomal RNA (253 nucleotides) under uncultured bacterium. RNAcentral's name for it is "partial 16S ribosomal RNA". It matches the Rfam family "Bacterial small subunit ribosomal RNA", at positions 524 to 776 of the family's 1533-position model. The record is from RNAcentral.